Molecule: ribosomal RNA, 492 nt
Filed under: uncultured bacterium
Lineage: Bacteria
Description: partial 16S ribosomal RNA
Rfam family: Bacterial small subunit ribosomal RNA
Source: RNAcentral
AGUGAACGCUGGCGGUAGGCCUAACACAUGCAAGUCGAACGGCAGCACAGUAAAAGCUUGCUCUUACGGGUGGCGAGUGGCGGACGGGUGAGGAAUACAUCGGAAUCUACUUUUUCGUGGGGGAUAACGUAGGGAAACUUACGCUAAUACCGCAUACGACCUACGGGUGAAAGCAGGGGAUCUUCGGACCUUGCGCGAUUGAAUGAGCCGAUGUCGGAUUAGCUAGUUGGCGGGGUAAAGGCCCACCAAGGCGACGAUCCGUAGGUGGUCUGAGAGGAUGAACAGGCAAAAGGGAAACGGGAAAAGGGCCAGGAUCCCAAGGGAGGCAAGAGUGGGGAAAAUUGGAAAAAGGGGGGAAGGCUGAAGCAGCCAAUACGGGGGGAGGAAAAAAGCCUUCGGGUUGGAAAGGCCUUUUUGUGGGGAAAAAAGGAGAAAAGUUAAUAACCCCGCUGACUGAAGGGAACCGAAGAAAAAGAACCGGCUAACUCUGUG